UAAUUUUAUAUGUUCUUCCGUUUCUCUUGUAUAUUUAAAAAAAAAUUUUUUUUGUUCUAAAUUUUGAUUUACAUUCCAUGUGUAGAAUACAAAUAUUUAUCUGUUCCAUUUUCGUUUUUGACCUGAUGAUGACCUGUUAAUCAGACUGAAAACGUUUGUUUUCAAUUAUAUAUUUUACUCAGCAACAAAUUAAGGUAUUUUAUUUUUGUGUGUUUAUUUGCUCAGCACUUUUAACGUUACGAAUAUUAAUGCAUUUGCUUCACUUAAUGUGUUGGCUUUUUAUUAAUAUGUUUAAAGUUUGAUCAUCAUAUGCUUAUAUGUAAACACUUCCAAAGUCCUCUUUAUUAUUUUGACAAUAAGGCAUAAUAUAGGAGUCAGUCUUGACCAAGUUGAAAGGGAAAAAGACACAAGUCACUCGAUGCUUUAUCAGAGGGUAAAAGAGUACAACAUUUGAACUGUUCUUUUAUAUACCCACUGUUUUUUGAUUUAUAAGGAAGACAAACCGGAACCAUUUUACCCACUUGUGAGCUUAGUGUAUUUGUAAGUCCUACAACUUAUAGCUACACUAAACUCAGAAUUGAUAAAUAGUGAAUAAUGCCUUUUUACACUUUGGUCAUCAAUAUAGGGUAGGUUUGUACAGUUAAACGCAUUACUAAUGAGUCAGUCAUAAAAUACAAAUUUUACCUAGCUCAACAUUGAUGACAUUUCAAAUGAAACUCUAAUGAAAUUCACGAAGGAAAGAGUUAGUUUAUAUCGUGAAGAAAAUGGCAUCCGGUGAUAGCGAUGUUUCUAAAUCUACUCAAAUGUUUAAAUUGUGGAUUAAAAAAUCAAAUGAUAAAAAUAACUCACUAGAAGCAAUCUAAGAAAAAUACUUUGGAUAAGACUGCACUAGCAACAUACGUCACUUUGGUUUUCAAAAUGGCAAUUUUGUCAUAAAAAGAUCAGUCAAAACAUCUAACAAGUAAGAGAAAAAUCAUAGUUAUUCUCAUUUAACUCGUUCAACUUUACAAACACACCCAUAGCCUUAAUUAUAGUUUGGAAGUGAGGAGGUUCCAGGUGUCAUAAGUGAUAACAUUUCUAUGACAUAUACAAAAGAUGCAGGUUGAAAUAUCACUUUGGUUAUAACAAACCAGAUGAUUGCAACAUUAGAUUGGGCUGUGGUAUUGUAGGUUGGCUGGUUCGAGUUUUUGGCACAAGAGCCAUAUAGGCCAUGCUGUGCCAUCACAAGUGUAGUAUCGUAACUUUCAAUAAUUAAAUGCCGAGUAAUUUGGCCUAGAAGUAGACCACGUCUUAUCAAAUUUAAUAAUUAAAAUGAAAUUAAUUUAGAAAGUUAAUAGUAGCAGUAAUAUAAUCCAAUCUAAUCUGGAAAUUGUUUGGCUUUAUUACUGGGAAUUACAAAUGUUUAUAUUUGUAUAUCUACAAACUUAAAUAUUUUAAUUUAAUUUACAUUUAAAUAUUUUAAUUUGACGUAAAUUAAGUAUUUUAUUAAUCUAAGUUUAACACAAGACUGAAGCCCGAUAACAUGCCUUUUAGCUAAAUUAUUUUGAUUAAUUAUUAAUUAGCCAUAUGCUAGCUUAAGAGUGAACUAAUGAUUUAUAUGUGAGUUUAUAACAAUACAGUGACAAAAAUAUAAAAAUAAAAUAUGGUAAUCAGAAUCAAAUACAGUCCUCUUGCACGAAAGUCAUUUCGUGUGUGUCUGAAUGUACCGAUAUGUACUGCUAGAAAGGUAUUGAAUGCGUGUCUAAAUUAUAACAAUUUGGGAGAAUUAUUAAAAAAGAAUAAGACGAAUUUUGCUUUUAAUUUUACUUAAACUCUCUUUUCUUUACAGUUGUAUCCCCGAACGAGGCCGUACUUUCGAGAGUUUUAUCCUAAUUCAAGUGAAACAUUUUGUUUUUGAGGCAUUGGUUCUUGUUGUUUUUCAAGCUCCUGGAUUAUAUCGUAAACUAACUGGUUAAGUUGCCAGAUCUGGUAUGGUUUAUAAAGUACAUCUGGUUGUAUCUGAUGAAAAGUGAUAUUAGGAUGGCUAGGAACCUCCAAUUAGAACUGUAAGACCAUUUUUAGUCUCUGACUAAAAAUGGUCCUACAUAUUGAUGGCUGUCAAUGGAAUCCAUGAUCAGUUUAUUGGUAUCAUACAAUCUGUGGUACCAUAAGAGUUUUUCGAUAGUGACACUUCCUGAUCGGAGAAUACGAUUCAAAGUAUGAACUGUUUCGACAUGAGAGAGAUUUAUCAAUAAAGUGGUUAUAUUCCGAGGAUUACUGGAACUGUUAGUCAAAGCUUGGUGAGAAUUAUGUUUUAAAUGCUGCUAAGGAAUGAGUGCAGUUUAUUCAAGGAUUAUCAGAAAGAUAAUAAGUACAAAUCUUGCAAACCUGCUGUAGUCGUGACAGAUUUAUUGUCAGCAUCAAAUGGAUCUCAGGAAAUUUUUUUAAAAAGGUAAGUUACAUUCUCAUGAUUCAUCUUUCUGAUAACCUACGUUUACUCUAUUUUUAUUCCAUGAUCUCCAUACCUAAAUAAACUAGAAGUGAAUUUUGUGUCAUUUUUUUAGGAACUACUGCUCAAGAGAAAAAAAAGAUAUAGACAGUAGCAAUGAUUUUUUUAUGAUCUGGCCCUUUCCUAAAAAAGUUUGCUGACACCUGCCUUAUUAUGGUGAUAGUGAAUUAACAAUGCUCACAGUACAAUUUACAUUGGGGGAAAUCCUCUCAACUGCUGAAAUAAGCUGCAACUUCUAAAAUGAUCCUCUAAAAUAGGGUGAUCAGACGUUCUGAUUUCUGGGAACUGUCCUUGGUUUUGUCUCUUUUUAAUAUUUAAUUCUAGAAUCAAUUUUUAAAUAUAGCAAUUUAGGGGUGUGUCACGACUGCAGAAGCUGCUGGUGCAUUUUCCUUCAGACCUUAACAAUGUGAAGGAAGUUUUUGUAUUGAAGUUUUUCAAAUGUUUUUUAUUGGGAAAACAUGAUAGUAUUAAAAUUAAUUUGAUAAUUACUUAUUUCUGGACUGAAAUCUAACCCUUACAAAGAUCCCUGAUAGAACUCAGAUGACCCUAUUGAGUCAAAGUAAGUCAAGCAACAGAAAAAUCAACUUCACAACCUUAACAACACAAAAGAAAACAUACAAAACAUGGAAUUACAAAUGGAAAAGGAACUUGUGCACUUCAAAAUAAAAUUACAUUAAUUUGAUUGGAUUCUGUAAUUAAUAUCCUAACAAGAUAUAUGGAAUUUUAUGAAACACACUGAAUCUAGAUUCAGUACUUUUAGAAGAUAUCCUAGACAUAACUCAAUUAACUAAUACAAUAAAAUAUGCAAAUUUCAGCCAAUUUCUUAGAGUUUGUCAUUCGAUGAAAGAAGUGAAUAAAGAUUAUUCCUUGAUGAUAAUUUUAUAACGAAAUUCCCAAAGGGUUCUCGUACCUGACGAAAUAAUCUUUUUCCUCUCAACAUAGGAAUAAAAAAACAAAAUUGUCAGCUUAAACUUCCUAAUAUAUUUUUUUAUCUUGACCUAAUAUCAAACCAAUUAGGAAAUGUGGUAAAUUUUUUAUCAAUUCCAUCAAUACAGAAUUUUACAACUUUUAAAGUCCAAUAAAUAUCGUGAAUAAUCAAAUGUUAGCAGUGAUAAACUGAAAUUUCCAGGGAUUAAAGAAUAAAAUUUCAUCAAAUGACCUAUUUCAGCUUAAACUUGAAGUAGAUAUUAUUGAAUAGCAGAAACAUAGAUUAAAUACAUUCAAAGACUACUUAAUUGAAAAUGUUCCUGCUAGAACAUCAACUGUACCAGACCAGCCUAGUGGAGAAAUAUGAUUAUUAUUAAAAAUUCUUCAAAUAAAAAAUACUCAAAUGAUUAAACCUAAUUUUACUAAUUUAAGAAAUGAAUUAAUGAUUGUGGCUGUUGCCUAUAUUCUACCAAAUAAGACAGACAUACUAAAAGAAUUUUUUAAAUCACUUGAACUUUGGCAACAUAUUACACCAUUAAUUCUGCUUUUGGGAGAUUUUAAUUCUCAUAUUGCUGAAAUAAACAACGAAAGACUCUCGGUACUAUGGUCCAAUAACUUAAUUUUAAAUACUCAACUUUCAAAGGAUAAAUAUAGCAAUAAAUUAGGUGCAAGUACGAUAAAUAUAUUAAUAGAUUUAAAAAUAUACACAUGCAGUGGUUGUAUAAUAUCCGACCACCCUGCUAAAUUUACUUGUGUAGAGUAUAAAGGAAGUUCUACAAUUGAUUUUACUCUUUUUUCUGAUUUUUUUUUGGAUUUAUGUGCAGACUUCAAAAUAUUAAAUUAUGAUGCAUCAGACCAUUUUCCCUCCAUUGCUAAAUUUUUCACAAAACAAAAAACAAAGAUAGACAAAUUCAAUAAUUAUCUAAAAAAAUUUAUAAUUUAUCAAGAUAUCAAGAAGAGAGCGAAAAUAAAUUUAAUUGUAUUCCUGACAUUACUGAAAUUCUAUUGAAACUUACAGGUUCAUUGAACAAUUAAUGAAAGAAUAUACAUUAGAUCCACCUAUAAAAUGGGUUCAUAUAGUUCGGAUUCCUAUAUGAC
Long non-coding RNA from Centruroides sculpturatus (bark scorpion), 4513 nucleotides. RefSeq lists it as uncharacterized. Lineage: Eukaryota; Metazoa; Arthropoda; Arachnida; Scorpiones; Buthidae. The transcript has 3 exons. The record is from RefSeq and is a predicted model, not a curated record.